GUGCGAUUAGUGUAGAGGUAACACGUCAGCCUUCCAAGCUGAAAUCGUGGGUUCAAUCCCCAUAUCGCACUCCA
Molecule: transfer RNA, 74 nt
Filed under: Lachnospiraceae bacterium
Lineage: Bacteria; Bacillati; Bacillota; Clostridia; Lachnospirales; Lachnospiraceae
Also listed under: 1 other name
Description: tRNA-Gly
Rfam family: tRNA
About the family: Transfer RNA (tRNA) molecules are approximately 80 nucleotides in length. Their secondary structure includes four short double-helical elements and three loops (D, anti-codon, and T loops).
Source: RNAcentral